Molecule: ribosomal RNA, 427 nt
Filed under: uncultured bacterium
Lineage: Bacteria
Description: bacterial SSU rRNA
Rfam family: Bacterial small subunit ribosomal RNA
Source: RNAcentral
UGGGGAAUUUUGGACAAUGGGCGCAAGCCUGAUCCAGCCAUUCCGCGUGCAGGACGAAGGCCUUCGGGUUGUAAACUGCUUUUGUACGGAACGAAAAGCCCUUCUCUAAUACAGAGGGGUCAUGACGGUACCGUAAGAAUAAGCACCGGCUAACUACGUGCCAGCAGCCGCGGUAAUACGUAGGGUGCAAGCGUUAAUCGGAAUUACUGGGCGUAAAGCGUGCGCAGGCGGUUUUGUAAGACAGAUGUGAAAUCCCCGGGCUCAACCUGGGACCUGCAUUUGUGACUGCAUAGCUAGAGUACGGCAGAGGGGGAUGGAAUUCCGCGUGUAGCAGUGAAAUGCGUAGAUAUGCGGAGGAACACCGAUGGCGAAGGCAAUCCCCUGGGCCUGUACUGACGCUCAUGCACGAAAGCGUGGGGAGCAAACA